GAUGAAGAACGUAGCGAAAUGCGAUAACUAAUGUGAAUUGCAGAAUUCAGUGAAUCAUCGAGUCUUUGAACGCACAUUGCGCCCCCUGGUAUUCCGGGGGGCAUGCCUGUCCGAGCGUCAUUGCUGCCCUCAAGCACGGCUUGAGUGUUGGGCUCCGUCCCCCCGGGGACGGGCCCGAAAGGCAGCGGCGGCACCGAGUCCGGUCCUCGAGCGUAUGGGGCUUUGUCACCCGCUCUGUAGGCCCGGCCGGCGCCAGCCGACAACCCAUCAUCCUUUUCAGGUUGACCUCGGAUCAGGUAGGGAUACCCGCUGAACUUAAGCAUAUCAAUAAGCGGAGGA
Molecule: unclassified non-coding RNA, 339 nt
Filed under: soil metagenome
Description: partial contains 5.8S ribosomal RNA, internal transcribed spacer 2, and large subunit ribosomal RNA
Rfam family: 5.8S ribosomal RNA (bases 1-120)
Source: RNAcentral